UGGCAGUAAACCUUCCAACUCGGAAAUUAUAAUGUAGUUUUUUUAAGGAAUAUCCAGUUGCUAGAUACCUGAAAUAAAAAUUAUGAAUGAAUUCAUUGAAAAUACCGGAAAAAGAGAGUCACUACAUAAAAAAUGGAAGAAUAUACGUGAUCGGUUUACAAGAGAAAUUCAAAGCCAAAAAGGAAAAUCCGGAGACGAAGCCCGAAAAAAAGCGCCAUAUGUCUAUUCACAACAACUAUUGUUCCUUAAAGACACUCUAACACCAAGAAAAACUACAGAUACAUUAGAAGACCUAAACACCCAAGCAAGUAAUGCAGAAAGUGAAGAAUCUAGACCUAGUUAGACAUUGUCUUCUUGGAUCACAGCAACUGCAAAAUAUGUUUCAGGACGACCGAUUGUAGGUAAAAAAAGUUCAUAAUCCGCCCUUGAAGAUACAAUUUUUAGUUCAUUGGAGAGCUAUGAAAAGAGGGUCAAAAUGGAAUCCCCACAAAAUUAUGAUGAUAACAGCCACUUUUUGCUUUCUUUGGUACCUAGUCUCGCAUCUCUGCCAAAGAUGUUGAAUACAAAGUGUAGGAUAGAGCUUAUGCAAGCAAGUGAUAAGCAAAUAUGAAUCGUACGCUUCGCAGCAACCACAGCAACAACAACCAGUCUAUUUCUCGUAACAAACUCAACAACACUCUGUUCUCAGACGUACUUCACAACACACACAGGAACAACCUACUUAUUCAUAUGCAGUUCAAAAAAACUCUUUCAGUAACAAUCAGUUCCAAGCUGACUACCAAGAACAAUCUAGAGUUCCUGUACCAACUCUUUCUCCAGCUGGCUCUGUCCAAUCGUACCUCAGUAAUUUCAGCCCAGAAGAGGAAUCCCAGUUUAGCGUUUUCUAAUAUAAUCAAGAUUUAGUAUUUGUAGGAAAGUUUCUCAAUAAAAUUACUAUUAGUAC
This is a long non-coding RNA of Anthonomus grandis grandis, 943 nucleotides long. RefSeq lists it as uncharacterized. The record is from RefSeq and is a predicted model, not a curated record. NCBI's taxonomy places the organism in Eukaryota, Metazoa, Arthropoda, Insecta, Coleoptera, Curculionidae. The transcript has 2 exons.